GACGAACGCUGGCGGCGUGCUUAACACAUGCAAGUCGAACGGAAAAGGCCGGCCUUUGUUCGGUGGUCGAGUGGCGAACGGGUGAGUAACACGUGAGUAACCUGCCCUGGAGCGUGGGAUAACUUCUGGAAACUGGGGCUAAUACCGGAUAAGAGCUCCUGCUGCAUGGUAGUGGUUGGAAAGGUGCGGUUGCUGGGGAUGGAGUCGCGGCUUAGUAGCUUGUUGGUGGGGUAGUGGCACACCAAGGCCACGGCGCGGAGCCGACCGGAGAGGGUGAGCGGCCACCCUGGGACUGUGACACGGCCCAGACGGCUUCGGGAGGCAGCAGUAGGGAAACUUCGGGAAGGGGCGGAAGAUUGACCGCGCAACGCCGCGUGAGUGAAGAAGGGUUUCGGAUCGUAAAGCUCUGUUGUAAGAGAAGAACGAGUGUGAGAGUGGAAAGUUCACACUGUGACGGUAUCUGACCAGAAAGGGACGGCUAACUACGUG
RNAcentral lists this ribosomal RNA (489 nucleotides) under uncultured bacterium. RNAcentral describes it as "partial 16S ribosomal RNA". It matches the Rfam family "Bacterial small subunit ribosomal RNA", at positions 28 to 507 of the family's 1533-position model. The record is from RNAcentral.